UACGUAGGGUGCGAGCGUUAAUCGGAAUUACUGGGCGUAAAGCGUGCGCAGGCGGCUUUGCAAGACAGAUGUGAAAUCCCCGGGCUCAACCUGGGAAUUGCGCUUGUGACUGCAAGGCUGGAGUGCGGCAGAGGGGGAUGGAAUUCCGCGUGUAGCAGUGAAAUGCGUAGAUAUGCGGAGGAACACCAAUGGCGAAGGCAAUCCCCUGGGCCUGUACUGACGCUCAUGCACGAAAGCGUGGGGAGCAAACAGG
This 253-nucleotide ribosomal RNA is filed under the name uncultured bacterium. RNAcentral describes it as "partial 16S ribosomal RNA". It matches the Rfam family "Bacterial small subunit ribosomal RNA", at positions 524 to 776 of the family's 1533-position model. The record is from RNAcentral.